AGGGGCGUAUCAUCUCAUUAGUUUAAUUUUGCAUUGAUCAAACCAACUUAAUAUCUAUCUUCAAUCUUGGUAAGUUACAAUUUUGAUGCUAAUAAUGCUGCUACUGCAGAGACGGCGCCAAAUUGAAGCAAUUAACGGAGCAUGGGCAAUGAUUGGUCUCACGGCAGGCUUGGUCAUUGAAGGUCACACUGGUAAAAGCAUACUGGAACAGUUGGCUGGAUACUGGUUUGCCAUUGUCCAUUUUUUUUGUGCGGUAACAUGAUCGAGGAACGGUGAAAACAUGGAGAUUCUUCACUUAAAUAUUCUUUCGAAUUUUAACUUUGUAAAAUUGUAUGAAAAUUGUUGCUUCAGGUGACAAAUGCUGUACCAUUUACUUCGUAGGGACUUCCUCAGUUUAAAAUGACCUGGUAAUGUGUGGCAACAUUCUUUUAUUUUCCUUCUUGAGGGGUCCUAUCCUGUAACCAGGUAUUCGAUUGGUUAUGACUACAUCCUUGAUAAGCUUUUAAUCUUUUCGUGGAAAAAAAGCUGUGAUUACUUGGAUUCAAA
Molecule: long non-coding RNA, 546 nt
Organism: Populus nigra (black poplar)
Lineage: Eukaryota; Viridiplantae; Streptophyta; Magnoliopsida; Malpighiales; Salicaceae
Exons: 2
Source: RefSeq, a predicted model, not a curated record